Molecule: non-coding RNA, 86 nt
Organism: Gymnothorax javanicus (giant moray)
Lineage: Eukaryota; Metazoa; Chordata; Actinopteri; Anguilliformes; Muraenidae
Source: the annotation of a GenBank genome assembly
GCCCCGGUGGCACAUCGGUCUAAGUGCGUGCACCAUAAAGGCUGUGGCCUUUCCGCGGCGACCCGGUUCAAUUCCGGCUCGGGUCA